UGGGGAAUAUUGGACAAUGGAGGAAACUCUGAUCCAGCAAUUCUGUGUGUGUGAAGAAGGUUUUAGGACUGUAAAACACUUGUAGGAGGGAAGAAAAAAAUGACGGUACCUACAGAAGAAGCAACGGCUAAAUACGUGCCAGCAGCCGCGGUAAUACGUAUGUUGCGAGCGUUAUCCGGAAUUAUUGGGCUUAAAGGGCAUCUAGGCGGUAAGACAAGUUGAAGGUGAAAACCUGUGGCUCAACCAUAGGCUUGCCUACAAAACUGUUGAGCUAGAGUACUGGAAAGGUGGGUGGAACUACACGAGUAGAGGUGAAAUUCGUAGAUAUGUGUAGGAAUGCCGAUGAUGAAGAUAACUCACUGGACAGAAACUGACGCUGAAGUGCGAAAGCUAGGGGAGCAAACAGG
This 407-nucleotide ribosomal RNA is filed under the name Verrucomicrobiota bacterium. Its description in RNAcentral is "Verrucomicrobia bacterium partial 16S ribosomal RNA". It matches the Rfam family "Bacterial small subunit ribosomal RNA", at positions 355 to 776 of the family's 1533-position model. The record is from RNAcentral. Lineage: Bacteria; Pseudomonadati; Verrucomicrobiota.